GUAGUAGUAAUAUAUCUGCUACAAAUGACUGUACAAAUGUUAAAAUUUUUUUUGUUAGUUUUUUUGUUUAAAAGUUUUUCAGUUAGAAAGUUUUCUUGUUAAAAAGUAUUUUGUUAGAAAGUUUUCUUCAGGGCCGGCUCGACAUAUGAUUGAACGAAGCGCCCGCCCAGAGCGCCGAUAUUUAAGGAAUAGUUGUAGUAAGACCAUUAUUUUUUACAGUUAAUUUAAACGGUGAGCGGACUGACACUGCCUUAUGAUUUGAGGGGGGCAACAAAAAUUUUCACUUGAGGCGCUAAAAGCUCUAGAGGUGAUACUGGUUUUCUUCAUUGCAUUGGUUUCUUUUAACCUAUAUUUGGGUAAGAUGAUUUAUUAUCUUAACAUGCCUGCCACAAACCAGUAUACGCGCAUACGGGACAGAUGUGGCAAUUCUUAUAUUCUCCUCUAUUGGCUUAAUAAAAUCAAUAAAUAGUGAUAUUGGUCAACUACUGGAGACUGGUCAAGGAAUGGUUCCACCACCCUAUGAUAUACAAAGGUAAAAUUCGGUUAAAGCUCUGACAAAAAUUAGAAAGUUAAAUAUACUUAACAAGAUGUGAGUUGUCUCUCUACACUUAAACGAUGGCGUAGAAGAAAACUAAAUGAAGAGCGAUGACUUUUUCAGCAUUAAAUAGUACUCUCUAUGUCAUAAGUAGUGUUGUACAUCGAACAUCGAUGUUUUUUCUGUUUAUGUAAUAGAAUUGGCGUUUGUUAAGUAAUAUAACGAAAUAUUUUUAUAAACGGAAAUUUUAAUAAUUGUUGAUGAUUUUAUACUUUUGCAUUAAGGAAAAUCCGAGCAAUCCAUUUUUCAACAUGAUUUAAUAAAUGACAGCGUCUCACGUGACGUUUGUCACGUGAAACACUUUUGUCAUUAUCAUUUCAACAUUCAAAAUUUUCUAACAACAAUACUUUCUUGUAUCGUCUUAAAUCGAAAUCGCGUCGGAUCAACAAAUCAAGUUCGCGUCGCGUCGCGUGUGUACGCGUGUGUGGCAGACACGUAUUGCGGAGGUUAAAAAUUUUAAAUCUUAGUUCGUACGAAAAUUAACACUGUAACUCAUUUCAUCCAAAUUUAAGACAAACAGUUAACUUUCUAACAGAAAAACGUUUUAAGAAGAAAUUUUUAUAACCGAAAAAUUUUCUAAACAUUUUUACGAUUUUAACUCGAUGAUUAGGCUACAUCUCGUCGAGAAAUCUUAUACGCGCCCCGUAGCGUGUAUACUGGUUUGUGGUAAGCAUGUUAGGUUUAAGUUGGUAAAUCAUCUUACCAAAUGUAGGUUAAGAAGAAAAUUUUCUAACAAAAAAAAAAAAUAUUUUAACAUUUGUAUAGUCAUUUGUAGAAGAUAUAUGUACUAUUAUCAGUUAAAUAUGGAGAAAUAUUGAUAUAGAAUUUUUUAUUAUAUUAUUAAACAUAUAAAAGGAAC
Molecule: long non-coding RNA, 1454 nt
Filed under: Androctonus crassicauda
Lineage: Eukaryota; Metazoa; Arthropoda; Arachnida; Scorpiones; Buthidae
Source: RNAcentral